This 468-nucleotide ribosomal RNA is filed under the name uncultured bacterium. RNAcentral describes it as "partial 16S ribosomal RNA". It matches the Rfam family "Bacterial small subunit ribosomal RNA", at positions 28 to 507 of the family's 1533-position model. The record is from RNAcentral.
GACGAACGCUGGCGGCGUGCUUAACACAUGCAAGUCGAACGGAAAGGCCCUGCUUUUGUGGGGUGCUCGAGUGGCGAACGGGUGAGUAACACGUGAGUAACCUGCCCUUGACUUUGGGAUAACUUCAGGAAACUGGGGCUAAUACCGGAUAGGAGCUCCUGCUGCAUGGUGGGGGUUGGAAAGUUUCGGCGGUUGGGGAUGGACUCGCGGCUUAUCAGCUUGUUGGUGGGGUAGUGGCUUACCAAGGCUUUGACGGGUAGCCGGCCUGAGAGGGUGACCGGCCACAUUGGGACUGAGAUACGGCCCAGACUCGUACGGGAGGCAGCAGUGGGGAAUAUUGCACAAUGGGCGGAAGCCUGAUGCAGCAAUGCCGCGUGCGGGAUGACGGCCUUCGGGUUGUAAACCGCUUUCUCCUGUGACGAAGCGUGAGUGACGGUAAUGGGUAAAGAAGCACCGGCUAACUACGUG